CGUACUACAUCCUCCUAAACGUUUUAUACUCUAAAGUUUACCGAACUUAUCCUUCUCUACGUCUAGUAAUAAGACCUGUCCAAGAACUAGGAUUGGUCUAGUGUGAAAAAACAACAACAUUUUGAUCGCUUACGUUACAAAUGAAACUGGGUCGAAUAUUGACCUACUUACGUUGUAAAUAAUGUUAGGUGGAACUACUAAAGUAGGUACUGACUCUAUAUAAUUGAGAAGUUGGAAUCAAAAUUAGUUCCUGUUAACUUCGGAUAACUAAAACUUAGCAACUGUGUACCAAACGAACUCUGUUCGCUUCGACGGUUCCACUAAACAUGUGGAUUUGACGAAGUUCAUAAACGGACUAAACGUACCGUUCUUAUCAUCCUAAUAUGUCCAAUUACAGUUCCCGAACUUUGCACACUCCCUUCAUUUGUACCUAGACUACCACUACCCUUAGAAAGAAUAUUUCUUUCUAUGUAUCCCACAUAAUAGACCACGUAUAAUCUAUUAGUUUCAACUACGUAUACAAUGUCUAGAAGGGGCGCUCCGCGAUGUCUAGUGUACCCGUGACAGUACUUCCGGCGCUUCCGCACCGGCCGCCGUACCCAAUCGGACACCCACCAUGGUGGUACGACGAGAGCUGUACGUAACACCACGACGAGCACCGCCGAAAGCCUCCCUCUGUUUCACUUGUAUCUCUUAAACCCUCGAGGAGCCCAAACCUAGUCGUUCGGUACAGGCAAACCAAACCGUUUCCUUCCGGAAAAUAGGAAAAAGAUCUUACGGUACUUGUAGAGACUUAAAAGUGUGACCAAGGCUGGCUACCAAUUAUAAAAAAACUUGUAUAAACACUGACCUCGGGUGUGUAUGUAUCAGUACCUAGACUAAAACACAAAACCUGGAACGAUAAAGUGACUAAACCUUGUACAUAUACGUCAAGAUCCGAAGAUCGAUCUACCUAAUUAUCUAUACAACCUGGAUACGUAAAAUAUAAUGGGCGUACCUAGAUACAAAUAAUAAACUACGAGGAGGAAUAGGACCUCUUCUUAAAAACGUUUGUCAACAGUAUAAACCUCUAUACCUAAACAACAGUGAAGUCGUAAUACGAAAGUCACGAUGUCUCAUACGCCACUUUAAUCUAAUCUAACUACUAAUCGUUAAUUGAUAUCUUGACAACCGUCGUGGUCAAAUUGUAUACAAUUAAAGACCGGGUAGAAAUAAACGAAAGCUCAAUUUGAUACUUAAACUUUUGUUUUUUUAAAUAUGUAAACAACUACGAUUUAAAUAGUCAGGAAAACAAAGCUAUUAGUGGAGGAUGUAUACACAACGACCCAUCAAAAGAAUGACGAUGUCGAUCCAACAAGAUCGUCCUAUUACAUAAAAGAAUACCUUUUGUGCCUACUCAUUAAUGCACUAUAUGAUAAUUAUAAUUUGAUACAACAAAGAGACUUUGAUUGAAACAUAAAGUCGAAACCUUUGACCACAAGAUUGCAAUCAAGGCUGUUCUCCCGGUGAUAUUGGUGGUAGACCAGUCUCAAAGCAGCGACGCGGUUGUAAGCACUUCCUCUGCAGACAUGUAAAGUAAAGUCCUAGUGAAGUUUCGCGACGGACCAAAAGUGACACGUGGCGGAGAUCUACGUGGUAGUUUCUGUGACGUAGGGGACACAGUUAUAUUAGAUAGUGAUUCAUGAGAAUUAAUACGAGAUAGGACACUAUUGAAUACCAAACGAAAACCG
Molecule: ribosomal RNA, 1730 nt
Filed under: Triticum aestivum (bread wheat)
Lineage: Eukaryota; Viridiplantae; Streptophyta; Magnoliopsida; Poales; Poaceae
Description: partial small subunit ribosomal RNA
Source: RNAcentral